Molecule: ribosomal RNA, 801 nt
Filed under: uncultured marine dinoflagellate
Lineage: Eukaryota; Dinophyceae
Description: SSU rRNA
Rfam family: Eukaryotic small subunit ribosomal RNA
Source: RNAcentral
UUACCCAAUCCUGACAUAGGGAGGUAGUGACAAGAAAUACCAAUACGGGGCAUCCAUGUCUCGUAAUUGGAAUGAGUAAACUUUAAAUCACUUUACGAGUAUCAAUUGGAGGGCAAGUCUGGUGCCAGCAGCCGCGGUAAUUCCAGCUCCAAUAGCGUAUAUUAAAGUUGUUGCGGUUAAAAAGCUCGUAGUUGGAUUUCUGUUGGGAACGACCGGUCCGCCCAUUGGGUGUGCAUCUGGCUUGUUCUCGGCAUCUUCUUGGUGAACGUUGCUGCACUUGACUGUGUGGAGCGCUACCCAGGACUUUUACUUUGAGGAAAUUAGAGUGUUUCAAGCAGGCAUAUGCCUUGAAUACAUUAGCAUGGAAUAAUAAGAUAGGACCUCGGUUCUAUUUCGUUGGUUUCUAGAGCUGAGGUAAUGAUUAAUAGGGAUAGUUGGGGGCAUUCGUAUUUAACUGUCAGAGGUGAAAUUCUUGGAUUCGUUAAAGACGGACCACUGCGAAAGCAUUUGCCAAGGAUGUUUUCAUUGAUCAAGAACGAAAGUUAGGGGAUCGAAGACGAUCAGAUACCGUCCUAGUCUUAACCAUAAACCAUGCCGACUAGAGAUUGGAGGUCGUUAUCUUUACGACUCCUUCAGCACCUUAUGAGAAAUCAAAGUCUUUGGGUUCCGGGGGGAGUAUGGUCGCAAGGCUGAAACUUAAAGGAAUUGACGGAAGGGCACCACCAGGAGUGGAGCCUGCGGCUUAAUUUGACUCAACACGGGGAAACUCACCAGGUCCGGACAUAGUAAGGAUUGACAGAU